CCUACGGGAGGCAGCAGUGGGGGAUAUUGCACAAUGGGGGGAACCCUGAUGCAGCGACGCCGCGUGGGUGAAGAAGCGCCUCGGCGCGUAAAGCCCUGUCAGCAGGGAAGAAAAUGACGGUACCUGAAGAAGAAGCCCCGGCUAACUACGUGCCAGCAGCCGCGGUAAUACGUAGGGGGCAAGCGUUAUCCGGAUUUAUUGGGUUUAAAGGGUGCGUAGGCGGGAUGCCAAGUCAGCGGUAAAAAUGCGGUGCUCAACGCCGUCGAGCCGUUGAAACUGGCGUUCUUGAGUGGGCGAGAAGUAUGCGGAAUGCGUGGUGUAGCGGUGAAAUGCAUAGAUAUCACGCAGAACUCCGAUUGCGAAGGCAGCAUACCGGCGCCCUACUGACGCUGAGGCACGAAAGCGUGGGUAUCGAACAGGAUUAGAUACCCUUGUAGUC
Molecule: ribosomal RNA, 439 nt
Filed under: uncultured bacterium
Lineage: Bacteria
Description: partial 16S ribosomal RNA
Rfam family: Bacterial small subunit ribosomal RNA
Source: RNAcentral